AUGGUGGUGGGGAAAUGGGGAGUAAUUACUAAUAGGCGUGGGGUUCCUUUUGGGGGUGGUCAAAAUCUAAAGUCGAUUAUGGUGAUGGGCACACAAGUCUCUAUAUACUAAAAAGCAUUGAAUUGUAUACUUCAGAUGGUUAAAUUAUAUAUCCCUGCCCAGUAAUAUCUCAACAAAGCUGUUGUAUAUAUGUAGAGAGAUAAUAUGUUUAUGAAGUGUCUACUGAGUCAAGUGAGCCAAACAGAAGAAAAUCCCUGCCUUGUCAGGAAGUUAACAAGGAGGAGACAAGAGUACAUUUAAAAGUGUAAUUUGACUCAUGAUAAGAAUGAAGCAGGAAGGGAAUCGUGUAAUGAAUGGGGCUGGAGCUACUUUAGAUGGUGGAGGAGAGGAAUCAAGGUCUAGGAAGGCCACUCUGUGGAGGGGACAUGUGAACAGAGAUCUGAGUAAAGAGAUAGAGGGAGCCACAGGUACCUAGUGAAAGAGCACCAGUAGAUGCAGCAAGUGCAAAGGCCCUGAGGUGGGAGCAAUAGGCCAGUGGGAAGGUGGUAGGAGAUGAGAUCAGAGAAUUGUCAGGGGCUGGAUCAUGGAAGGUCUCAUAGGAACCCUUAUUUUAUUCUGUAGGAGCCACAGGAGGUUUUAAGCAGAAGAGGGAUGUGUUCUCACUGAAGUGUUCACGGAAUCCCUCUGGCUGCAAAUGGAGAAUGGACAGGGGGGAGGAGGUGGGCAGGAUGGAAGGCGGGAGACCAGCGAGGAGGCCACAACAGACCAGAGCAGCCACUUGGAGGACAUGAAGACCAAAGUCUCAUGCUCAGAAUGGUGGAGUGGGAAAGAGGAGGACGCCCCAGUCCUUGAGCAGCUGUGCCAGCACCGGUCCACCCGGCUCUGGACUUCUUGUGUUUGUUCAGGCCAUCACUUGUGGAAUUUUCUGUUCCUCGUGGCUGCAUGCUUUCCUAACGUGUGCUUGCCUGUGUGCAUGCCUUCCCCGUGUGCUGCGCAUGCAUAACCAUUUAUAUUUAUCUACAUUCUUUCUUCCCCACAAAAACGGUAGCAUACCCUAUGCUCA
This is a long non-coding RNA of Panthera uncia (snow leopard), 1063 nucleotides long. RefSeq lists it as uncharacterized. The record is from RefSeq and is a predicted model, not a curated record. The transcript has 2 exons. Lineage: Eukaryota; Metazoa; Chordata; Mammalia; Carnivora; Felidae.